CGUGACUUCAUAGAUGGUAAGGUCAUGCUCAAAUGCAAGUGCUCCGGAGGAGCCAUCGGUAACUGUCUGGACCGGAUUUUCAUGGAUUUCAAUUUCCCUUCAAAAUGGCCCUUGUGCAUUCCGGCCCCAGGAAUACUGUUAGCUGGUGCAUGAAUUCUUGAUACAUUUGUCCAAGCAAAAUUACAAACUUGAAGUACAAGACCGAUAUGGUCCAUAGAGUACAUCAAAACAUUUCUAAUGGUUGAUGGUCGAAGCGGUUCGAGGAUCUUCAACGUCUAUGGGACACAAUUUCCCACAGGAAGAGCUGACCUGGAUAAAUUCCUAUCUCACGCGGCUGCUGUCUUCAGUGUCUAGGUUCCGGGUUUAUCGUCGAGUUCCUCCUCUCCAAUCAUGCAAUAUGUCCAAGACAAUAGCGAGGGACAAGCAAGUGAGUAUUUUGAAUGUACUCGUAAACAUCAUGAAACAAACAUAAAUUGGCAGGGUUAAUAUACACUUGUAAUAAUACCACAAUACUUCGUCAACCCUGAUGUACUUCUCAAGUACUAGUAAUGAGAAUAUAAUCUUACUUAGAAAUUAAUAAGCAAACAAUAAGAGUAAAAUUAACGGAUCUGAUAUAAAACAUGCCUCUGUCGGGCGUUUGAGCGACACCACCUAUAUGGCUUGAGUAAAAUAAUAACAAGCAUGCCACAGUCGGGUGUCUAAGCGACACCACAUAAAGGGCUUAUAUGAAAUAAUAAACAUGCCGCAGUCGGGCAUCUCAGCGACACCACAUAAAGGGCUUAUAUGAAAUAAUAAACAUGCCGCAGUAGGGCGUCUUAGCGACACUACAUAAGGGGCUUAUAUGAAAUAAGGAACAUGGUGCAGUCGGGCGUCUCCGCGACACCACAUAAAGGGCUUAUAUGAAAUAUUAAACAUGCCGUAGUCGGGCGUCUCCACGACACCACAUAAAGGUCUUAUAUGAAAUGAUAAUAAAAAUGAAUAUAUAGGAGGUAGAACCGUCCCAAGGAUAUUCAACAAUCAUAAUCAUAGGGGUUAGUCCAUAAUAAUAAAAAUAAUAGUAUGAUCAUUCACCAUAUUUCAUGAUUAGUCUCACGAUUUGUCUAACUUCCUCUGGAGACCAACACUCAGACCGACACUUGACUAGUGAACCAGUCGUCCUUGACCGUGGACACGGCUACUCGAAUAGUUUUAACUCCGCACAGGGUGUACUCUUUACCCACAACCCAAAGUUUUCAAUAGUCACUCGGACUAAUCCUGCGUACGGUUUUUCAGAGGUAAACACUCAGAACCUGCACACACCGAUCUUUCCACCGUGAAGACCUGACUCACAAGGGCUCCGCUUCCAUGGAACAACCAUAAGAUGGGGAGGCUCGAACCUCGACUAGCAUGGGAUUAAAUUUAUACCGCGUGCUAAAAAGAGCUCUUCCCUCUUGGUCCCAGACGGGAAACACCCAUGGCCCGUGACCGGAUGACUGGAUUUAGUCCAUGGCCGUGGAUACCUUCAUCCUGGCCCCUCUACUUGGUGUGUACCUGGUAAUAGGUUACGACCUACUGAACCAUAACCCCUUUCUGGAAGAUCAUGGCCGCACGAAUCGGUUAAGGUGACGNNN
This 1610-nucleotide long non-coding RNA is filed under the name Hordeum vulgare. Its description in RNAcentral is "long non-coding RNA (HVUL_LNC021379)". Lineage: Eukaryota; Viridiplantae; Streptophyta; Magnoliopsida; Poales; Poaceae. The record is from RNAcentral.